This 159-nucleotide ribosomal RNA is filed under the name Oligobdella brasiliensis. RNAcentral describes it as "partial 28S ribosomal RNA". It matches the Rfam family "Eukaryotic large subunit ribosomal RNA", at positions 751 to 907 of the family's 3401-position model. Lineage: Eukaryota; Metazoa; Annelida; Clitellata; Rhynchobdellida; Glossiphoniidae. The record is from RNAcentral.
GGGCGCACCACCGGCCUGUCUCGGCCGCAACGUCGGCGAGGCGGAGCAAGAGCGUACGCGUUGGGACCCGAAAGAUGGUGAACUAUGCCUGAGCAGGAUGAAGCCAGAAGAAAUUCUGGUGGAGGUCCGUAGCGAUUCUGACGUGCAAAUCGAUCGUCG